RNAcentral lists this transfer-messenger RNA (355 nucleotides) under bacterium. RNAcentral describes it as "g GCA-2717625 X1 Standard tmRNA". It matches the Rfam family "transfer-messenger RNA". Rfam says of the family: Bacterial tmRNA, also known as 10Sa RNA or SsrA, is named for its dual tRNA and mRNA-like properties. RNAcentral also lists the same sequence under 1 other name. The record is from RNAcentral.
GGGGGCGAUCGGUAUCGACGUGAUAAUAGUAUUGUCGAAUUGCAUGCGGAGGAUAACAGUUCCCUCCUUAAUUAUCUGUUACAACUAUAAGUGCCGAUUACGGCUAUAUGGCUGCAGCGUAAGUUUAGCAGUCCGUUCCGACUUAAAUGAGUCUAUGGUUUAAAUCAGGAGCGUCACUUACAUAGGCUAGCCUUAAAUGUGUCCGCGCAUUUAAGAUGAAAUUCUAGCGGACUGGUUUGAACUAGUUUUUGUCUCUGAUACAAGUUCAAAUAAGAUGCCAAUCAGAUGACUAAGCAUGUAGAAAUUUUACAUUAAUCUAUUGCGGACGGGAGUUCGAUUCUCCCCGCCUCCACUU